GUUUUGUUGAUGAUUUUCGCAAUUUUGCGCUGGACAAAGUGUUUUCAAACGCUCCAAGAGGUCUGACUGAUAAAAAGCCAUAAAUAGUGAAAAGGGUUGGAAGUGUUUAAUAAUUAAGAAAAAGGGAUUUUUAUAAAGAAGAAAAGUGUUUUUUAAACUUAAAAAUUAAAUUAAAAAAGUUAUUUCGAGAGUGUUCGUCAUUUUUAAAUCGCGUGUGCUUCAGCAGAUGUUAUGAUUCAAGGGAACAGCAGCAGCAGCAGCAGCAGGGAUGCAGAUCAGACAACAGUUACUGGUUAAAAGGUGAAACAAAUGAGGAAAUGAUUAGUGACGCAGAAAAAUCAUAAUUUAUGAACGUUGAUAAGGAUUUUUGAAAAAAAAUUUCCAGUCGCCUACUUGAUGUUUUGAUCUCCCACGUGGCUGCCGGUGACACUAAUUCCAACUGCAUAGCUACUUUCGGUGGAAGAAUUAUUGGAAGAUGUGCAAGUGGC
Long non-coding RNA from Leptopilina boulardi, 488 nucleotides. RefSeq lists it as uncharacterized. The record is from RefSeq and is a predicted model, not a curated record. NCBI's taxonomy places the organism in Eukaryota, Metazoa, Arthropoda, Insecta, Hymenoptera, Figitidae. The transcript is spliced from 4 exons.